RNAcentral lists this ribosomal RNA (253 nucleotides) under uncultured bacterium. RNAcentral describes it as "partial 16S ribosomal RNA". It matches the Rfam family "Bacterial small subunit ribosomal RNA", at positions 524 to 776 of the family's 1533-position model. The record is from RNAcentral.
UACGAAGGGGGCUAGCGUUGCUCGGAAUCACUGGGCUUAAAGGGCGCGUAGGCGGGCAAGCAAGUCCGGGGUGAAAGCCCCCAGCUCAACUGGGGAAGUGCCUUGGAAACUGCUUGUCUAGAGGGAGGUAGGGGCAUGUGGAACUUCGGGUGGAGCGGUGAAAUGCGUUGAUAUCCGAAGGAACGCCGGUGGCGAAAGCGACGUGCUGGAUCUCUUCUGACGCUGAGGCGCGAAAGCUAGGGUAGCGAACGGG